Molecule: ribosomal RNA, 181 nt
Filed under: uncultured Staphylococcus sp.
Lineage: Bacteria; Bacillati; Bacillota; Bacilli; Caryophanales; Staphylococcaceae
Description: partial 16S ribosomal RNA
Rfam family: Bacterial small subunit ribosomal RNA
Source: RNAcentral
GAGACUAAUACCGGAUAAUAUUUUGAACCGCAUGGUUCAAAAGUGAAAGACGGUCUUGCUGUCACUUAUAGAUGGAUCCGCGCUGCAUUAGCUAGUUGGUAAGGUAACGGCUUACCAAGGCAACGAUGCAUAGCCGACCUGAGAGGGUGACCGGCCACACUGGAACUGAGACACGGUCCAG